CCUACGGGAGGCUGCAGUGGGGAAUAUUGGACAAUGGGGGCAACCCUGAUCCAGCCAUGCCGCGUGUGUGAAGAAGGCCCUCGGGUUGUAAAGCACUUUCAGUGAGGAAGAACGCCUGGUGGUUAAUACCCAUCAGGAAAGACAUCACUCACAGAAGAAGCACCGGCUAACUCCGUGCCAGCAGCCGCGGUAAUACGGAGGGUGCGAGCGUUAAUCGGAAUUACUGGGCGUAAAGCGCGCGUAGGUGGCUUGAUAAGCCGGUUGUGAAAGCCCCGGGCUCAACCUGGGAACGGCAUCCGGAACUGUCAAGCUAGAGUGCAGGAGAGGAAGGUAGAAUUCCCGGUGUAGCGGUGAAAUGCGUAGAGAUCGGGAGGAAUACCAGUGGCGAAGGCGGCCUUCUGGACUGACACUGGCACUGAGGUGCGAAAGCGUGGGUAGCAAACAGGAUUAGAUACCCUAGUAGUC
This 465-nucleotide ribosomal RNA is filed under the name Vreelandella stevensii. RNAcentral's name for it is "partial 16S ribosomal RNA". It matches the Rfam family "Bacterial small subunit ribosomal RNA", at positions 338 to 795 of the family's 1533-position model. The record is from RNAcentral. Lineage: Bacteria; Pseudomonadati; Pseudomonadota; Gammaproteobacteria; Oceanospirillales; Halomonadaceae.